GUAUGUGUGCGUCAGCGCAGGUCUGGAUGUACCAGCUACAGGUGUGUGAAGAUGAUGGAUCCAGACAAACAACCACCUGUCUCUGUCUGGCUUUUGCUGGGUCUGUACCACGAGGAUAGCCUUGGAUUCAUGAACUUUAACAACACCGGUGGAAACAGAAACGUUGCGUUGUACUCCGCUGUGGAAGUGAUCACAGAGACUCCGUCGGGACUGAGUCAGUCAGCUGCAUCCAGACAGGGAGCCACUGGAGAGGGGCUAAAGAGGCAUGUGGCUCCGGAGCCGCAGGUUGCAGACCCCUGCUAACAGAGCUGUGAAGUCAUCAUGAUCUGGACUCUCCCCUGCUCCUGUGAUCGUGCGACUUCUGUCUGGUGGUCACCUCGGGUUAGAGGUGUAGUGGCGGCCUGCUAACCUAUCCAAUAUGCUAACCAGGGACGCUGACCUUGAGAUGGCAGCCGUUCAGAAAUGUCUACAUUAAUGAAAGUGGUCCCAGGUGGGCCAAAAUGAAAUGGAAACCACACACAAUCAAUAUAGUAGCAAUCAUAACAAUAAAGUAGGGCUGUGCAAUAGAACGAUAUAUAAAUAAAACGUCAAAACAAUAUAAAAAUGUCGUUUCGAUAGCGAUAUAGUCUAGACCUAUAUUUAUUUUUUCUUCUCUAUAAUUUCACUUAAAACUUAUGCUCAUUUACUCAAGUUCUUAAAAUGACAAAAAAACUCAAGUAUUUAAUUCACACAGGAGUGGGCAAUACAAAAAUAGGCUUUAUCAUGUGGUUAUUUCAUAUAGACUAUUUAUUUAUUGAAUUGACAGAAAACCUGCUAUAUCGUGUUAAAAUAUCGUUAUCAAGAUAUGAAAUGGCCUAUGUCAUGAUAGAAGAUUUUGGCCAAUAGCCCAGCCCUACAACAAAGGUAGAUGAUACUAUCUUCAGCUGAGGUCAGAGUUUAAACAUAAAUGCUAAUGCUUGCCCCUCACAAUAUUGGAUUAUUUGGAAUUAUAUACAGAAUAAAAAGGAAAAAGAAGACACACGAGAAUUACAAGUCAAGUGUAAACCUUUUUAAGUCGGCAACAAAUAGGUAAAAACUGAAUUGAAUAGAUCAGCCCCAUUGUCACCAAUACCUGAUCCAACUAUUUGAGUCAGUAUCGACCAGAUAUCCGAUCCCGUAUCGGUGCAUCCCUAAUUUUAAGCUUCAUUAACCUGUAUUUUUACAACAUUUGAAGUUCUUAAUAAGCUAAUUAACUUGAUAAACACAAAUAUGUCUAGGCUAUGUUGCAUUUUCUUGGCCUUGGAUGGUCAAUAUCAACAAUUGCUUAAGGUAGCUUUAAAAAUGAAAUUCAUCAUGAUAAUGAGAUUGAGACAAAAUUGAGGUCACCGGUCAUUGCCUAAUGUUCCCAACAACAUUUUACAACAUACCCCAAAGCUCUGGAUAAUGUUUUGGAACAGAUCCAGCUUUUAAGAUGAAUAUUUCAAGAGCAUACUGGAGCACUUUUAGCAGCUAUUUGACAGAAAUAUGCUAUUUGAAGUAAAAGUGCAUCCACUCUGAUCUUGUAUCAGUGUUAUUUUUGGCGUAAGAGAUUCAGACUUCUGUUGUUCUUCUCCAGUUGGAGAAACUACUGAGCCAGUCGAUGCCUUUAUAGGCUGGACCAAGGUUAGAAAACGUCAUCUAACUGUGUCAGAGCCAGAAUCCAAACAAAUAUAGCAGCAAGCAUUGAUUUAAAAAAAAAAAAAAAAAAAAAAAAAAAAAGGUGGAGCUAUCGAGGCUGUAAAUUAAACUGACUAAAAACAAUUCUCAAGUGAGAAGACCAUCAUGCAUUGAAGGCAUUUCUUUAAAAGAAAUUAGUUUUUUGCCAUUCUCCCCAAGAGGAAAAGUGUAAUACUACAAAAUAUCCAAUACUUAUUGUUGUUUCUCCCUUGAUGGCCUUAACACUAGGACCACCAUAGCCCACGCCAUUUAACAUUGUGGUCCCAAAAUUUUAAUUAUUCCUUCAUUGUAUGUGCUAUUUUCCUUCCUUCCCUGACUUUUCCUGAAUACUUAUUCUGCACAUGCCUGUAUUUUCAUAAUGAUAGUAUGACAUUUAGAAAGCUAAAAACAUGUGUUUUUGUUUUUUAUGACUAAAAGUCCCCUUUCGUCACUAAGAGUAUCACCGAUUAACGUUGGUACUCUCCUCCGGCAGCCGAAUUGAGGCCUUUGCAUAAUGGCCGUAUAAGUGCAUUGAGACAACGAAUGGGACAUAGAAACUAAUUAGCACUCCAAUAUUCACUCACAUGCAUUUGUAAUCACACUAUGGUAUGAAAGUCCACAUUAUGUUCCAUGUGUGCGCUUUAUGCAUAUAUAAUUAGGCCUGUACCAAAUAGUUUGAAGCUUCAUUCAUAACGUUGACAUUUGAAUUAUUAUUUUUAAUAACUUACAGAAACACUGCGUGCAAUAGUUCUCUCUCUCUCUCUCUCUCUCUCUCUCUCUCUCACAAAUGAUGAAUAAUGAGGAUCAAGUUAAAGAAGGCUUGUCAUGUAGCUCGCUGUGCACAGUGGCAAUAAAAUGGUAAAUACUUCAU
Molecule: long non-coding RNA, 2545 nt
Organism: Sebastes umbrosus (honeycomb rockfish)
Lineage: Eukaryota; Metazoa; Chordata; Actinopteri; Perciformes; Sebastidae
Exons: 4
Source: RefSeq, a predicted model, not a curated record